RNAcentral lists this ribosomal RNA (377 nucleotides) under uncultured eukaryote. RNAcentral describes it as "partial 18S ribosomal RNA". It matches the Rfam family "Eukaryotic small subunit ribosomal RNA", at positions 592 to 976 of the family's 1831-position model. The record is from RNAcentral.
CAAUAGCGUAUAUUUAAGUUGCUGCAGUUAAAAAGCUCGUAGUUGGAUUUCGGGUGGGAAUGGCCGGUCCGCCGUUUCGGUGUGCACUUGCUACGCCCACCUUGCUGCCGGGGACGUGCUCUUGAGUUCACGCUCGGGACACGGAGUCGGCGAGGUUACUUUGAGUAAAUUAGAGUGUUCAAAGCAGGCUUACGCUCUGAAUACAUUAGCAUGGAAUAACACGAUAGGACUCUGGCCUAUCUUGUUGGUCUGUAGGACCGGAGUAAUGAUUAAGAGGGACAGUCGGGGGCAUUCGUAUUUCAUUGUCAGAGGUGAAAUUCUUGGAUUUAUGAAAGACGAACUACUGCGAAAGCAUUUGCCAAGGAUGUUUUCAUUAA